UGCAAGUCGAACGCGAAGACCCCGCAAGGGGUUUGUAGAGUGGCGAACGGGUGAGUAACACGUGGGUGACCUACCUUCGAAUGGGGGAUAACGUCCCGAAAGGGACGCUAAUACCGCAUAACAUCCUGCCUUUGAACAGGUGGAGAUCAAAGCCGGGGAUCGCAAGACCUGGCGUUUGAAGAGGGGCCCGCGUCUGAUUAGCUAGUUGGUGAGGUAACGGCCCACCAAGGCGACGAUCAGUAUCCGGCCUGAGAGGGCGGACGGACACACUGGGACUGAGACACGGCCCAGACUCCUACGGGAGGCAGCAGUGGGGAAUUGUUCGCAAUGGGCGCAAGCCUGACGACGCAACGCCGCGUGGAGGAUGAAGGUCUUCGGAUUGUAAACUCCUGUUGCCCGGGACGAAAUGCUUCGACCUAACACGUCGAAGUUUGACGGUACCGGGUGAGGAAGCCCCGGCUAACUCUGUGCCAGCAGCCGCGGUAAUACAGAGGGGGCAAGCGUUGUUCGGAAUUACUGGGCGUAAAGGGCGCGUAGGCGGCCCGCUAAGUCGAACGUGAAAUCCCCGGGCUCAACCCGGGAACUGCGUCCGAUACUGGUGGGCUUGAAUCCGGGAGAGGGAUGCGGAAUUCCAGGUGUAGCGGUGAAAUGCGUAGAUAUCUGGAGGAACACCGGUGACGAAAGCGGCAUCCUGGACCGGUAUUGACGCUGAGGCGCGAAAGCCAGGGGAGCAAACGGGAUUAGAUACCCCGGUAGUCCUGGCCCUAAACGAUGAAUGCUUGGUGUGGCGGGUAUCGAUCCCUGCCGUGCCGAAGCUAACGCAUUAAGCAUUCCGCCUGGGGAGUACGGUCGCAAGGCUG
RNAcentral lists this ribosomal RNA (860 nucleotides) under uncultured Acidobacteriota bacterium. RNAcentral describes it as "bacterial SSU rRNA". It matches the Rfam family "Bacterial small subunit ribosomal RNA", at positions 56 to 896 of the family's 1533-position model. Lineage: Bacteria; Pseudomonadati; Acidobacteriota. The record is from RNAcentral.